This is a non-coding RNA of Myodes glareolus (Bank vole), 1228 nucleotides long. NCBI's taxonomy places the organism in Eukaryota, Metazoa, Chordata, Mammalia, Rodentia, Cricetidae. The record is from RefSeq and is a predicted model, not a curated record.
AGAUCAGCUGGAUUUCCAGGACACGGAGUGCGGUAACAAGCUCUGACCCGAACCCACAGCCACUCUGUGAAAGAAUUACAGGAAACAGCUGCAGUCUAGCGUCUCAAUAAAGGGACGCAAGGAUUCCGUGUGACCAGGCCUUCAGUGACUCCAGCAGUCGGAUUUGGAUCCCAGGAAACAAACAAGAACACUGGAGAUUAUUUCUGAAGCCAGAUCUCUGAAGUGACCAGUAUCUCUGGAUACUUAAAAAUAAAAACAUGACCGGCAAGAUGACUCGGGGGAGACAGAUGCUUGCUCACAGACCUGAGUCUGAUUGCCAGAAGCCGAGUAAAGGUGUGUUGGAGACCCCUGCAAGCCAUGUGCGGGCAAAGAGACUAUUUUGCAUGUGGUGAAGAAACUCGAGUUGGUACCAUUUUUGCAGCCUACAAUGUAUGCAGAGACUCCCUGCUGAACCAGAAGCCACACUACGCCAACCACCAGCAUACCCGGUAGGUCCCUACCAUGAGAGGGAGCUCAUGCCUGACACUGUCUGGAUGGCCAGAAACUGGAAGCUGGAGAGGCCAGAGACCUACAGCAGAAUCAAACAGCUGGGAAAAGGGGAAAAAGUCAGUACAAUGAUUCUUAAUAGCAAUCUGCUGUACUCACAGAUGCCUAGUCAGAAAGUCUUCCAACAGCUGAAGAGAGUCACCGCCAACCAUUAGGCAGAGCUUGGAGAACCCUAUGAAAGAAGAUGAGGAAGGAUUGUAGGCACCAGAGGGGUCAAGGACAGCAGGAAAACACUGCCCGCAGAAUCAGCUAAGCCUGGCUAAUAAGUGGCUCAGAAAGUGAAUUGGUCUCACAGAGUCUGCAUGGAUCUGCACUAAGUCUCUGUAUAUAUGUUGUGGCUGUUUAGCUUGGGGUUUUUAUGGGACUCUUAGCAAUAGGAGUAGGGGUUUCUCAGACUCUUUUGUCUGCUCUUGGGAUCCUCUUCCACUUACUGGCCCAGCCUAGAUACGAGGGUAUGUGCCUAGUCUUAUUGUAACUUGCCAUGCUGUGUUCAGUUGCUAUCUGUGGGAGGAGCAAUGAAUCUGGGAGAUGGAGGGUGGGGUGAGGAAAAACUGUGGUUUGGAUGUAUUGUAUAAGAGAAUAAAUAAAAAGAAAAAAAAACUUUGAGAAGGGGUUUCCAUGUGACCAUUAUCAUAACGAAACUUUAGGCAUGGCUACAUAGAAACUCCCUAGCGAGGUAGUA